RNAcentral lists this ribosomal RNA (505 nucleotides) under uncultured bacterium. RNAcentral's name for it is "partial 16S ribosomal RNA". It matches the Rfam family "Bacterial small subunit ribosomal RNA", at positions 28 to 507 of the family's 1533-position model. The record is from RNAcentral.
GACGAACGCUGGCGGCGUGCCUAAUACAUGCAAGUAGAACGCACAGUUUAUACCGUAGCUUGCUACACCAUAAACUGUGAGUUGCGAACGGGUGAGUAACGCGUAGGUAACCUGCCUGGUAGCGGGGGAUAACUAUUGGAAACGAUAGCUAAUACCGCAUAAUAUUGAUUAUUGCAUGAUAAUUGAUUGAAAGAUGCUAUUGCAUCACUACCAGAUGGACCUGCGUUGUAUUAGCUAGUAGGUGAGGUAACGGCUCACCUAGGCGACGAUACAUAGCCGACCUGAGAGGGUGAUCGGCCACACUGGGACUGAGACACGGCCCAGACUCCUACGGGAGGCAGCAGUAGGGAAUCUUCGGCAAUGGACGAAAGUCCGACCGAGCAACGCCGCGUGAGUGAAGAAGGUUUUCGGAUCGUAAAGCUCUGUUGUAAGAGAAGAACGGGUGUGAGAGUGGAAAGUUCACACUGUGACGGUAUCUUACCAGAAAGGGACGGCUAACUACGUG